This 2529-nucleotide long non-coding RNA is filed under the name Salmo salar (Atlantic salmon). Its description in RNAcentral is "lncRNA (ENSSSAG00000121671.1)". The record is from RNAcentral. Lineage: Eukaryota; Metazoa; Chordata; Actinopteri; Salmoniformes; Salmonidae.
ACAACCUGCCGUUUCCAGCUACAAUAGUCAUUUACAACAUUAACAAUGUCUACACUGUAUUUCUGAUCAAUUUGAUGUUCUUUUAAAGGACAGGAAAUGUGCUUUUCUUUCAAAAACAUGGACAUUUCUAAGUGACCCCAAACUUUUGAACAGUAGUGUACAUAUGCAAGAGCACACACUUAUGUCUACACUCUCACACACACACACACACACACAGCAGUGUCAGCUGUCAUAUAGAGGGAUGCAAUCACAACACUUUCCUUUUCAAGCCUUUAUUUUCUCCUUCCCCCUUACGAUUUCACCCUUAUCAGCUCCAAGGAAAAUGUUGUCAAAGGUGACAUUUGCACUUUUCUGAGCAUGGUUAUGUUUUACCACUUUUAAAGUAGCUCAGGCAAAUUUCAAACCAAUUGCAAGUACCAGGUUUAUAAAGAACCCAGUGCCUAAAUGAAUUGACAUAGUGAUCCUGCUUUUCUCCAGACUUGCUCUCUUACCUGCUGCCCAGUGCUCCCCUGAGGCCUUUUGCACUAAAAUGGCUGGAAAUUUGUACAAACCAUGAAAUACCAUCAAACCUUUAUUUUUUAGUAAUCCAUAUAAGCUGGUGCUUGAGUUAAUUCUAAGGUCAUUGAUUGAUAUCUGUUAAUAAAUAAAAGUCAUUUUUUGGUAAAUCGUGAAGUGCUCAUUCACGUGAUGUACUAUGUAUGGAGUUGUGAUUUAUUUUAGAUACUGUGCUGUUGAAUCAAUCAUAUCAAACUGUCCUGUAUAUUACAACAAAUGUUCCCACUUUCUCCAUAUUGUAAUCACUUGAUAGUUUUUGUUAGACUUCUGGGUUGUCAUCAUGUCAGUCACCUUUCCUGUUAAAAAUCGACACAGCUUAUUGUCUUUUGGAUAUACUUUCAACACAUUAUUUUGGAUCUCACUGUGUCUUACAGUCAGUAAAAAAAUGAGGGUCUACUUGGAUUAGUUCUAUUUUCAAAUUACUUUUUGCCGCCUCUACCCGAAUCUAUUUUAUUUUCAAAUGAACUGAAUCAUUCAAAGCAGUGGCGCCUUGCAUUUUGUUCUGUAUUUAUACUUUUAUUUUCAAUUUGAAAUAUGUCCUUACUAUUUUACUGGGUUGGGGUCAAUUCUAAUAUAAUUUGAAAUUCCAAUAAAUUGUUUGAAUUCACUCAUGAAGUGGAGAAUUUAAUUAAAUUCUCAUUUUUAAAAAGUCUUCAAGCUAUGGAAUUGAACUGGAAUUAGACUGUUUGGACUUUUUGAAUUGGAAUUGUAAAAACAUGUAAUCUUUGGAAUAAAAUGUGUACAUUUCCCAGUUAAUAAAAUUAAUGCACAUAGUAUCAAACAUUGACUGUAUGAUUUGUUUUUAAUCAUUUCAACUUGUAUUUCUAUAUUUCCAGUAUAGCUAGGCUGUCUGAACAGUGAUAUGGUCAGCCUGAAAGCCUGAGGGAACUGAAUUACAAUUGUAAUUUGUUGAAUUGUUGCGAUAAUAUUGAUUUGAAUGGAAUUAUCUCUGAAAUUAAAGAUUGAUCUGGAACUUGAAUUUAAUUAAAUGGAAUUUACAGGGAGAGAGAUUUGAAUUGAAUUUCUGGAAUUGACCUCAACCCUGCUAUUUUAUGAUUGCCAAUUUUCUAAAUAUAUAUAUACAUGUUGUAUCAAUGUACAUCUCAAUAUAGUCUUUGGACAUCGUUUUUGGAUGGACAAUAUGAGAUCUGUAAAUGGAAGUCAUUAUACUGUCCUAAUUAGUUGAUUCAUAUAAGAAUGUAUGUACUGUAUGUAUUUAUAAUAUGGACAAAGUACUGCUGACCCCUUCAAGUGUUGAGUCCCCUUGACAUGAUGGCAAGCACUCUAUAACAAACAUAUUCUUAUAGCAUGUCAUGGUUUGUGUAUGACAUCCUAAUAAAACAUAGAUGGCAUGCAAAGGGUCAAUGCUGUUAUUUUAUCACAAUGACAUCACGUCUUGAAUUCUGGAUUUGUAUUUAGAUUGUGGGUAAUAUUACCCAUAAUGCACAUUAGGUUCAGGCCAUAGAGCUAGAUGGGGGUUUCAUCUUUGUAUCUGGACCAUUACAGCAUCUGUGACAGCAUGGGCAGCGCAAUUGAGGCAAUAUCCAUUUUGAAGUAGUCCAUUUUCUUCUUCACGAUUGGCUGAUCCCUCCUGAUGACCCGGGUGAGACAUGAUUCGAACAAGGUCACCAGGAGGGUUCAGCCACCCAGUUGACUACAUUAAGAUGGUGGAAGCCCUCAAUGGCGCUGCACAUGCUAAAACAACAUUUUGACCACCAGAGGACUCUAAUUCUAUAUGGUUCAGGCAUUAUCAUAUUUCUAUUUUCUUUGUUUUACAAGCAGUUACUUUUUCAAAUACCUACAAAGACAAAAGUAUUGCAAGUAAUUGGAUAUUGAAAAUCAACAGGGGUUGAUUUAAUAUAUAGCCCGUCAUGAGCCUAUUGUUGUUGCAUUUAGAUGUAAUGUGGGACAUCUUAUCAUCCUGAAUAAACAUAUGCAUUUUUGAGGUCAGGUAAACUGUAUAUAAGAUGUUUG